Molecule: ribosomal RNA, 256 nt
Filed under: uncultured bacterium
Lineage: Bacteria
Description: partial 16S ribosomal RNA
Rfam family: Bacterial small subunit ribosomal RNA
Source: RNAcentral
UGGCGGACGGGUGAGUAAUGUCUGGGAAACUGCCUGAUGGAGGGGGAUAACUACUGGAAACGGUAGCUAAUACCGCAUAACGUCGCAAGACCAAAGAGGGGGACCCUCGGGCCUCUUGCCAUCGGAUGUGCCCAGAUGGGAUUAGCUUGUUGGUGGGGUAACGGCUCACCAAGGCGACGAUCCCUAGCUGGUCUGAGAGGAUGACCAGCCACACUGGAACUGAGACACGGUCCAGACUCCUACGGGAGGCAGCGUG